This 375-nucleotide RNase P RNA is filed under the name Chitinophaga dinghuensis. Its description in RNAcentral is "Bacterial RNase P class A". It matches the Rfam family "Bacterial RNase P class A". Rfam says of the family: Ribonuclease P (RNase P) is a ubiquitous endoribonuclease, found in archaea, bacteria and eukarya as well as chloroplasts and mitochondria. Its best characterised activity is the generation of mature 5'-ends of tRNAs by cleaving the 5'-leader elements of precursor-tRNAs. The record is from RNAcentral. Lineage: Bacteria; Pseudomonadati; Bacteroidota; Chitinophagia; Chitinophagales; Chitinophagaceae.
ACUACAAACCGUGCUAUCGUCUUCCUGACUUGAGCAGGAAGAAGGAAAGUCUGGACAGCAUAGAGCAAUGCACCACCUAACGGGUGGGACUAUUUUCUGAAUAGUACAGCAAGUGCCACAGAAAAUGACCGCCUGUGCUCCGGUACAGGUAAGGGUGAAAAUGUGGGGUAAGAGCCCACGGUGUAGGCAGGUAACUGUUUAUGCGGGUAAACCUUGCGUGCUGAAAUGCCAUGUAUACGGUCGAUUGAGGGCUGCUCGUCCGAUGACCGAGGGUAGGCAGAUACAGGUGAUGUGUGAGCAUCAUCGUAGAUAAAUGGUAGCAGUUCUCCAGCUUGCUGGAGUUCACAGAAUCCGGCUUACAGGUUUGUAGUUUUU